AAGAUGGAGAGUUUGAUCCUGGCUCAGGAUGAACGCUGGCGGCGUGCUUAACACAUGCAAGUCGAACGAGAACCUUCGGGUUUUAGUGGCGGACGGGUGAGUAACGCGUGAGGAUCUGCCCUUAGAUGGGGGAUAACAGUUGGAAACGGCUGCUAAUACCGCAUGAGCCGAGAGGUAAAAGAUUAAUUGUCUAGGGAUGAACUCGCGUCUGAUUAGCUAGUUGGUGGGGUAAGAGCGUACCAAGGCAGUGAUCAGUAGCUGUUCUGAGAGGAAGACCAGCCACACUGGGACUGAGACACGGCCCAGACUCCUACGGGAGGCAGCAGUGGGGAAUUUUCCGCAAUGGGCGAAAGCCUGACGGAGCAACGCCGCGUGCGGGAGGACGGUUUGUGGACUGUAAACCGCUUUUAAUAGGGAAGAAUUGUGACGGUACCUAUUGAAUAAGCAUCGGCUAACUCCGUGCCAGCAGCCGCGGUAAUACGGAGGAUGCAAGCGUUAUCCGGAAUUAUUGGGCGUAAAGGGUCCGCAGGUGGUUAAUUAAGUUAGCGGUUAAAGAUUCGGGCUUAACUCGGAGAGUGCCGUUAAAACUGAUUGACUAGAGUACGGUAGGGGCAGAGGGAAUUCCUAGUGUAGCGGUGAAAUGCGUAGAUAUUAGGAAGAACACCAGUGGCGAAGGCGCUCUGCUGGGCCUGUACUGACACUGAGGGACGAAAGCUAGGGGAGCGAAAGGGAUUAGAUACCCCUGUAGUCCUAGCCGUAAACGAUGGAUACUAGGUGUUGCUCGUAUCGACCCGAGCAGUAUCGUAGCCAACGCGUUAAGUAUCCCGCCUGGGGAGUACGCACGCAAGUGUGAAACUCAAAGGAAUUGACGGGGGCCCGCACAAGCGGUGGAGUAUGUGGUUUAAUUCGAUGCAACGCGAAGAACCUUACCAGGGAUUGACAUCCUACGAAUCUUUCAGAAAUGAGAGAGUGCCUUCGGGAACGUAGAGACAGGUGGUGCAUGGCUGUCGUCAGCUCGUGUCGUGAGAUGUUGGGUUAAGUCCCGCAACGAGCGCAACCCACGUUUUUAGUUGCCAUCAUUCAGUUGGGCACUCUAGAGAGACUGCCGGUGACAAACCGGAGGAAGGUGUGGACGACGUCAAGUCAUCAUGCCCCUUACGCCCUGGGCUACACACGUACUACAAUGCAUUGGACAAAGGGCAGCGAGCCAGUGAUGGUGAGCAAAUCUCGAAAACCAAUGCACAGUUCAGAUUGUAGGCUGCAACUCGCCUACAUGAAGGAGGAAUCGCUAGUAAUCGCAGGUCAGCAUACUGCGGUGAAUACGUUCCCGGGCCUUGUACACACCGCCCGUCACACCAUGGAAGUUGGUUUCGCCCGAAGCCGUUACUCCAACCUUUUCGGAGGAGGAGGACGUCGAAGGCAGGGCUGAUGACUGGGGUGAAGUCGUAACAAGGUAGCCGUACCGGAAGGUGUGGCUGGAUCACCUCCUUA
Molecule: ribosomal RNA, 1491 nt
Filed under: Symploca sp. SIO2B6
Lineage: Bacteria; Bacillati; Cyanobacteriota; Cyanophyceae; Coleofasciculales; Coleofasciculaceae
Description: bacterial SSU rRNA
Rfam family: Bacterial small subunit ribosomal RNA
Source: RNAcentral